Molecule: long non-coding RNA, 480 nt
Organism: Falco tinnunculus (common kestrel)
Lineage: Eukaryota; Metazoa; Chordata; Aves; Falconiformes; Falconidae
Source: Ensembl
AUGUUCAGAACAGGCAGUGUCCCCGCUGGAAAGGAUAUGCUAGACUCUGGGCCCUGGGUUACAGCUGGGCCGCCUUUGAAAGAUGCUGCUCUAAUUAAGCAUGCGCUCAAACUCCUUUACUGCAGUGUGUCACUAUACAGGAAUCCAAAAUGCUGGAGUUCCUUCAUUAUGGUCUUGGGUAGCAGCAAUUUGCUGGAAAGAAGUGGGCACCUACAUCCCCUGUCCCUGAAAGAGCCACCACUUGACUUCCAAAAGAGGGUGCUUGCUGCCACUGGUGGCCUUUUGGAGGAACUGAAGGCAAAAAUUAAUGUUUCUUUACCGUCUGCAAUUUUCUCUCCUCAUUUGCAACAUGAGGCUUGUCUCAUUCUCGCAGUACAAGCAGUACAACAGAUGCUUUUUUGUGAUCUUCCAUACUUGAAUUCCUUCUUAGAGAUAGCCCUGGCUUUUGGGGUGAGUCCUAAAUACUUAUUUGUGUUCUAA